UGAUGACUGGCCUACAGGCCUUUUCCACCUAUCAAAUAAGAGUUGUUAGCUCUAACAAGGCAGGAAGUGUCACUUCGCAGUGGACCACGGCUCGAACAACAGAGGGAGUGCCAGAGUUCAUUGCUCCUCCUCAAGUAACUGCUCUGUCAGCCAGCUCUCUCAAAGUUACUUGGAACUCUACUGAAGGUCACGGGGUCAUCUCAAGAGGACAAGCCACUGAAUACCGCAUUAACCUGGUCACUGAGCAGUCUAACAACCCCUAUGCCCCUCCUGUCAUUAACCAGGUCUUACACAGAGCAAGCCCAUCAUCGCAG
This 314-nucleotide long non-coding RNA is filed under the name Neogobius melanostomus (round goby). RNAcentral's name for it is "lncRNA (ENSNMLG00000006934.1)". The record is from RNAcentral. Lineage: Eukaryota; Metazoa; Chordata; Actinopteri; Gobiiformes; Gobiidae.